GCUGGGCGCGGUGGUGCAGCGCCUGUCAUCCCAGAGGCUUGGGAGGCUGAGGCAGGAGGAUCGCCAGGUGGAGGCCAGCCUCAGCAACAGCGAAGGCCUAAGCAACUCGGCGGGACCCUGUCUCUA
Molecule: small RNA, 126 nt
Filed under: Marmota monax (woodchuck)
Lineage: Eukaryota; Metazoa; Chordata; Mammalia; Rodentia; Sciuridae
Source: RNAcentral